Molecule: ribosomal RNA, 468 nt
Filed under: uncultured bacterium
Lineage: Bacteria
Description: partial 16S ribosomal RNA
Rfam family: Bacterial small subunit ribosomal RNA
Source: RNAcentral
GACGAACGCUGGCGGCGUGCUUAACACAUGCAAGUCGAACGGAAAGGCCCUGCUUUUGUGGGGUGCUCGAGUGGCGAACGGGUGAGUAACACGUGAGUAACCUGCCCUUGACUUUGGGAUAACUUCAGGAAACUGGGGAUAACACCGGAUAGGAGCUCCUGCUGCAUGGUGGGGGAUGGAUUGUUUCGGCGGUUUGGGAUGGACUCGCGGCUUAUCAGCUUGUUGGUGGGGUAGUGGCUUACCAAGGCUUUGACGGGUAGCCGGCCUGAGAGGGUGACCGGCCACAUUGGGACUGAGAUACGGCCCAGACUCCUACGGGAGGCAGCAGUGGGGAAUAUUGCACAAUGGGCGGAAGCCUGAUGCAGCAACGCCGCGUGCGGGAUGACGGCCUUCGGGUUGUAAACCGCUUUCGCUUGUGACGAAGCGUGAGUGACGGUAACGGGUAAAGAAGCACCGGCUAACUACGUG